RNAcentral lists this ribosomal RNA (253 nucleotides) under uncultured bacterium. RNAcentral's name for it is "partial 16S ribosomal RNA". It matches the Rfam family "Bacterial small subunit ribosomal RNA", at positions 524 to 776 of the family's 1533-position model. The record is from RNAcentral.
UACGAAGGCUGCAACCGUUAAUCGGAAUUACUGGGCGUAAAGCGUGCGCAGGCGGUCGCGUAAGCCAGAUGUGAAAUCCCCGGGCCUAACCUGGGAACUGCAUUUGGUACUGCGUGGCUGGAGUGCGGCAGAGGAAGGUGGAAUUCCUGGUGUAGCAGUGAAAUGCGUAGAGAUCAGGAGGAACACCGAUGGCGAAGGGAGCCUUCGGGGCCAGCAUUGACGGUCAUGCACGAAAGCGUGGGGAGCAAACAGG